UAGAGUUUGAUCCUGGCUCAGGAUGAACGCUGGCGGCGUGCCUAACACAUGCAAGUCGAACGGACCCUUCGGGGUGAGUGGCGCACGGGUGAGGAACACGUAGCUUACCUGCCCUCAAGACUGGGAUAACCCUGCGAAAGCAGGGCUAAAACCGGAUAAGCUCACGAGGUACAGAGGCUUUGUGAGAAAAUCUUUGGAGCUUGAGGAGGGGGCUGCGGCCCAUCAGCUAGUUGGUAGGGUAACGGCCUACCAAGGCGACGACGGGUAGGGGGCCUGAGAGGGUGACCCCCACACUGGGACUGAGACACGGCCCAGACUCCUACGGGAGGCAGCAGUGAGGAAUAUUGCGCAAUGGGCGAAAGCCUGACGCAGCGACGCCGCGUGGACGAUGAAGGUCUUCGGAUCGUAAAGUCCUUUUCUGCGUGACGAGGAAGGACGGUAGCGCAGGAAUAAGUGUCGGCUAACUACGUGCCAGCAGCCGCGGUAAU
Molecule: ribosomal RNA, 488 nt
Filed under: uncultured Bacillota bacterium
Lineage: Bacteria; Bacillati; Bacillota
Description: bacterial SSU rRNA
Rfam family: Bacterial small subunit ribosomal RNA
Source: RNAcentral